UUACAGUCAUAUCACGCUGAGACACAGUUUCUCACACGAUCACCGAAGUUAAGCAGCGCCAAGCCUGGUCAAUACCUAGAUGGGUGACCGCUUUGGAAUAGCAGGUGCUGUAAG
Non-coding RNA from Acanthosepion pharaonis, 114 nucleotides. Lineage: Eukaryota; Metazoa; Mollusca; Cephalopoda; Sepiida; Sepiidae. The record is from the annotation of a GenBank genome assembly.